RNAcentral lists this long non-coding RNA (1065 nucleotides) under Bos indicus x Bos taurus (hybrid cattle). Its description in RNAcentral is "lncRNA (ENSBIXG00005014914.1)". The record is from RNAcentral. Lineage: Eukaryota; Metazoa; Chordata; Mammalia; Artiodactyla; Bovidae.
AAGCAAAAUCAGUGGUUCUAUCUGGCCAAGGCAUCAGUACACAAUUUUGACUGAAUUGCUGCUGCUGCUGCUGCUGAGUCGCUUCAGUCGUGUCCAACUCUGUGCGACCCCAUAGACAGCAGCCCACCAGGCUCCCCCGUCCCUGGGAUUCUCAAGGCAAGAACACUGAAGUGGGUUGCCAUUUCCUUCUCCAAUGCAUGAAAGUGGGCAAAGCUAAUCAAUACUAGCAAUUGUUUAAAAAUUCAAAACCUUUUUUGGACAUAGAAAAUGAGAGAUGACUUUGAAAGUGUUUUCAUAAUAUGUUUUUCUUUUAGUAAAACUCUUUCCAGUUCUUAAAAGUCCAGUUUGCUACAGACCCCCAAUCUGAUCUACCACUGCAUAUUAAUGAUCAACUUAUAUGUGGUUUUUAAAUGUGCAACGUCACAUUGUAGUAACAAUUAUAAAAAAGACUCUAUUUAGGCUUGAACUUUCUCCUUUUUUUUGUUCUUUUUCAGAAAAGAAGGAGUGCGGAAUUUGACUGAAUUAGGUUCCCCCAAACAAGCUAUGCAGACCCAGGGCACUUCCUGCUACCCUUCAAGGACAGAAAAGGUAAUUCAUAGCCCCACCUACUGCUGAGUAUAGUACACAAUCCUUCCUGACUAUCUAAUUAAGCCUAGAUAGACAAUCCAGGUGACUGUCUAACUGUUUCCAGUUAACUGUUUAACAGUUAAACUAACUGUCUAACUGUUUCCAGAGUAGGAAACCAACUCAGCAGUCUUGUCCAAUUGUUUUCAACCAGGGACAUCCUUCCACUUCAGAGCUUGGGAAGUGGCCUCACCCCCAAAUAGACCCUGAUAAAAAACUCUAUCUGCCCAAGGCAUUAUCAACAGGCAUAUCUAGAAAAACUAAGCUGAGCUGACUGGUGAAGAACUGCUUUUGACAAAGCAAGUCUGUAAGUCUGAAAAAGGAAAACACUUACUUAAAUGUUCCAAUACUGAUAUAAGAAAUUAAGGAUAUUUGGCAAAACUAAUACAAUUUGUAAAGUUUAAAAAUAAAAUAAAAUUAAAAAAAAAGAAAAGAAAAGAA